UAAGACGUAGGGGGCGAGCGUUGUCCGGAUUUAUUGGGCGUAAAGCGCGCGUAGGCGGCCGCGCAAGUCGGAUGUGAAAACCCGGGGCUCAACCCCGGGCGUGCAUUCGAUACUGCGCGGCUCGAGACAGGUAGGGGAGAUCGGAAUUCCUGGUGUAGCGGUGAAAUGCGCAGAUAUCAGGAGGAACACCGGUGGCGAAGGCGGAUCUCUGGGCCUGUUCU
RNAcentral lists this ribosomal RNA (221 nucleotides) under uncultured bacterium. Its description in RNAcentral is "partial 16S ribosomal RNA". It matches the Rfam family "Bacterial small subunit ribosomal RNA", at positions 521 to 741 of the family's 1533-position model. The record is from RNAcentral.